This 210-nucleotide unclassified non-coding RNA is filed under the name Astragalus hamosus. The record is from RNAcentral. Lineage: Eukaryota; Viridiplantae; Streptophyta; Magnoliopsida; Fabales; Fabaceae.
AUCGUUGCCCGAUGCCUAUUGCAGUGCGAUAGGAAUUUCUAGGGCGAAUGAUGGCUUCCCGUGAGCAUUGUUGCCUCGCGGUUGGUUGAAAAUUGAGUCCUUGGUAGGGUGUGCCAUGGUAGAUGGUGGUCGAGUUAGCACGAGGCCGAUCAUGUGCAUGCCCCCCCAAAAAUAUGGCCUCUAUGACCCACAUGCGUCUUUUGGCGCUCA